ACGCACGCUGGCGGCGUGCUUCACACCUGCCAGUCGAAGGGAAAGGCCCCUUUGGGGGUCCUCGAGUGGCGAACGGGUGAGUAACACGUGAGUAACCUGCCCUUUACUUCGGGAUAACUUCAGGAAACGGGGGCUAAUACCGGAUAGGAAUCCUUGCUGCAUGGGGGGGGUUGGAAAGCUUCGGCGGUUUUGGAUGGACUCGCGGCUUAUCAGCUUGUUGGUGGGGUAGUGGCUUACCAAGGCUUUGACGGGUAGCCGGCCUGAGAGGGCGACCGGCCACAUUGGGACUGAGAUACGGCCCAGACUCCUACGGGAGGCAGCAGUGGGGAAUAUUGCACAAUGGGCGGAAGCCGGAUGCAGCAACGCCGCGUGCGGGAUGACGGCCUUCGGGUUGUAAACCGCUUUCAGCAGGGGCGAAGCUUGUGGUGACGGUACCUGCAGAAGAAGCACCGGCUAACUACGUG
Molecule: ribosomal RNA, 464 nt
Filed under: uncultured bacterium
Lineage: Bacteria
Description: partial 16S ribosomal RNA
Rfam family: Bacterial small subunit ribosomal RNA
Source: RNAcentral